UGGGGAAUUUUGGACAAUGGGCGAAAGCCUGAUCCAGCAAUGCCGCGUGUGUGAAGAAGGCCUUCGGGUUGUAAAGCACUUUUGUCCGGAAAGAAAUCCUUGGCUCUAAUACAGUCGGGGGAUGACGGUACCGGAAGAAUAAGCACCGGCUAACUACGUGCCGGCAGCCGCGGUAAUACGUAGGGUGCAAGCGUUAAUCGGAAUUACUGGGCGUAAAGCGCGCGCAGGCGGUUUGCUAAGACCGAUGUGAAAUCCCCGGGCUCAACCUGGGAACUGCAUUGGUGACUGGCAGGCUAGAGUAUGGCAGAGGGGGGUAGAAUUCCACGUGUAGCAGUGAAAUGCGUAGAGAUGUGGAGGAAUACCGAUGGCGAAGGCAGCCCCCUGGGCCAAUACUGACGCUCAUGCACGAAAGCGUGGGGAGCAAACAGGAUUAGAUACCCUGGUAGUCCACGCCCUAAACGAUGUCAACUAGUUGUUGGGGAUUCAUUUCCUUAGUAACGUAGCUAACGCGUGAAGUUGACCGCCUGGGGAGUACGGUCGCAAGAUUAAAACUCAAAUGAAUUGACGGGGUCAUAGCUGUUUCCU
This 585-nucleotide ribosomal RNA is filed under the name uncultured bacterium. RNAcentral's name for it is "partial 16S ribosomal RNA". It matches the Rfam family "Bacterial small subunit ribosomal RNA", at positions 355 to 1375 of the family's 1533-position model. The record is from RNAcentral.